AAUGGGGGAAACCCUGAUGCAGCGACGCCGCGUGAGCGAUGAAGUAUUUCGGUAUGUAAAGCUCUAUCAGCAGGGAAGAAAAUGACGGUACCUGACUAAGAAGCACCGGCUAAAUACGUGCCAGCAGCCGCGGUAAUACGUAUGGUGCAAGCGUUAUCCGGAUUUACUGGGUGUAAAGGGAGCGUAGACGGAGUGGCAAGUCUGAUGUGAAAACCCGGGGCUCAACCCCGGGACUGCAUUGGAAACUGUCAAUCUGGAGUACCGGAGAGGUAAGCGGAAUUCCUAGUGUAGCGGUGAAAUGCGUAGAUAUUAGGAGGAACACCAGUGGCGAAGGCGGCUUACUGGACGGUAACUGACGUUGAGGCUCGAAAGCGUGGGGAGCAAA
RNAcentral lists this ribosomal RNA (385 nucleotides) under uncultured bacterium. Its description in RNAcentral is "bacterial SSU rRNA". It matches the Rfam family "Bacterial small subunit ribosomal RNA", at positions 370 to 772 of the family's 1533-position model. The record is from RNAcentral.